AAGAGUUCAAAACUUUUCUCUGAAUCUAAGGGUUGCAACUCGUGGAGAGAGAAAUCCUCUCCUAUGUAUCUGCCUACAUGAUCAUAUCGAGAAGUGAUAAUUAUCCUACUGCCAAUUUUUGAAUCACAUUCAGGACGAAGGACACGGUUCAGAGCAUCCCAAAUUUUAGUAUCCCAAAUGUCAUCUAAGAGAAUAACAUACCUUUUUGUUUCCAAAAGUGAUCGUAGAUUGUCCUCCAAGUGUUCUUUCCUUUCCUCCUCCGUCAGUCCAACUUGCUUGGCUAUGUCAAGUAAGAUUUCUCCUGCUCUUGGCUGUUGUGAAACGUAGACCAGUGCAGAACACUCAAAUUGUUGACGGACAUGCCUAUAAAGUUUCUUGGCAAGAGUUGUUUUUCCUAGACCGGGCAUGCCAACUAUUGAAACAACUCCAUUACACAAAUCUUGAACAAGCAAUUUGUCUUGGAGCUUAUUGAAGUCAUCAUCCAAACCGAUGACCUCUGUUUCAUCAGCAUGAAGGAAUUUUCUUCUCUGUUCCAUUGGAAUGCAAUCAUUAUUGUUGUUACUUGUGUCUGUGAUGUUGAAAGUUGUCCUUAAACUAUCAAUGUCAGCAACCCUUCUUCUUAUCUUCUCAAUCUCCAUAGCAAACUCAUCGGCAAAAGAAACCGUCUUAAGGCAACAAAUUGCGCCUUUGAACUUAUUGGAUUGUUGGAUUUUUGGAAGAAACUCAUCUAAGAGAUCCUCUACAUCACCUGCCAAUUCUUGAAUAUCUUUUAAUAAGUUUUUGACCCUUGAAUCGCCUCCAACUUCCUUGGCCUUUGCAUCGUCUACAUAUGAUCGAAUGUGUCUCAGUACUCUCUGGAGCCAAUCGAUGUCCUCUUUCAAAAAAUUCAAGCGGCUCCCUUCUUGAAAGAGUAGAUUUGCAGCUAUUUCUACAGAUUUAUUGAUGACUGCUGUAAGAAGAAUUUCAGCCAUCUCCUUUAAUUUUUCGUUAAAUUUCUUUUUUCUAAAUGUGAGGAUGAGGAAGGGAAAGUAAGAGAAAAAGGAUAAAGAAAGAUGUACUAUUUGCUUUAGUGUUGGAGUCAACGGCCCAAGUCUUGUAAACACAAUAAUUCAUCUUUUGUUAAUCAUGUUAGCUGGUAUUUCGUUUUCAAGCAUGAAUAACAAACGUUGAAAGUUAGAAUAUUCAGGCAGUACUACGCGUAAAACGAAAUUAGAAAGAAGGAGAUAAUUGGUAAAGGAAAAGAAAGGUCAGCUUAGAAUAGUUGGAGUCCACUGCCAAGUCUCCUAAUAAUGUCAAGUAAAAGAAAAACGAAAGAACAAAGGAACAACACAUGCUGUGGAUAAGAUACUAGUAGAAUAGUCAAAAGAAAUUACACCGUUCGUCCCAAUUUAAGUGUCAUUCAAUUAAAUUCGACAUGAAAUUUAAGAAACAAACAGUAACUUUUAAUAUUUUGUGGCUGAUGAUUGAUAAUGUACCUUUUUUUGAAAAAAUUAUGUAACUAAGCAAACAUCUUUAGUAUAUAACUAUCAAUCACACCAUAUGUUUAAAAAAAAUUAUUAUAUAUUUAGACGCCAUUUUAUGUUUCCUAACUGUUUGAUGAACGUCUUGCAAAACUUUACCCAAUUUGGUUCAUGGCUGUGAGUUUGGGCUAUUAUGAGACUCAAUUUGUAUGUUCCAUGAAAUUAAAUUAGGCUUUUAUGCAAUUUGAUUCUCUCAAAAUCUUUUGCCAUACUCAUACAGAGUGGGCGUUCGGUUCGAUAUUUAUUUAACUUUGAUUUGAUUUGAUCGUGAGACAUCAUCAUAAUGAUUCGAGUAGAAUGGUCGGAAUUUCUUCACUUUUUUGGUAAGGAGUGUUCUGUUCUAAAUUUUACUGAUUCGACUAAUUCAAAUUUGUAUCACAUAAUACCGAUUUAAGAAAGAAAUACUUUUUAUCAAAAAAAAAUCAUUUUCAAAGCUCGAAUUGAUUUUUUGUUGGUUUCAUUAUGUGUAAUCUUCAAGUCCUUGUGGUAUCACAACACAAGUUAGGAUAUUUGGAGGUUAUUUCACAAGAACUUACAACAAGAAAAGGAAAAACAAAGAUAUAAUUUGAGGAAAUAUGAAAGUCUUGCAUUAAAGUUAAAAAAAAGUAGUAGUUGUUUGCUCGUGAAAUUCAAAUAUUUUUCACUAAAAUUUAUAGAAUUGAAAUUGAAAAUAGAGUUGGGUUUAAAUUAUUUUUUUAUUGCGAAUGAAACAACCGAACGAUUGGAGAUUGGAGAAUUUUACCAUCAAACUACUUUUGAAAUAAAGUGAAAAAUUAUUUCAAAAAAAAAUAUAAAUAAUUCACAUAACAUCCUAAAAUAGCUUUCUCAAUCUCAACAAUUGCUCAUUUAUAAACUACGGAAAAAGGUCAAAACUGCCCUUGCACUAUGUGAAAUAGACCACUUAUACCCUCCGUUACAUUUUACGAUAAAAAAUGCCCGUUGUUAUCCUAAGAGACCACAAUUACCCUUAAAACUUAACAGAAAUGAUACAUGACACUAAUUCCACCACCUAGGCCUGCCAACUAGGAUACUCACUAAAUAUUUUGACCCAAUUAAUAAUUCAACCCUAACCCAUUUUUAUUGGACCCAAUCCACUAAAAUUAAGAGGGAAACAUCAUCUUUUUUUCACCUCAUUCCGUUUUACUAUUAAAUUCACCAAGGACGAUUUUUUGAAGACUUUUACGAGCUUAGCUUACUUGGACCAUGAUUGUGUGCCGCCAUAGAUUUAAAAACUAUGCUCUGGCACCAUUCUAUGCUUAGAAAGCUUGGGCUUGUGUUUUAUGUGGCUUUCCAAAAAAAUUUUGAGAAGCUCCACUUUUGUGAUGAUUAUACCCCACAACCACAAGUUUCUACGUUUUUAGCUUGUCGUCUAGCGGAUUAGCACUACGACAAAUAUAGGAGGGUGAUUGAUAAAAUGUGAAUACAAGAUUAUAAACAUGUAGGGGCAUAUCAAUGUUGCAUCCAUUUGUCUCUUACAGUGAUGAAUUUCAAUGAUUUUGGUUAUAAAGUAUAACACCAUAGAACCAUAAAGUUAAAUUUUCAAGCUUAUGUAUCUUUUCUAGUCCAUUGUGUCAUUAGAUUUUAAAGCUAGCAUUCCUAAGGUAGAGAUGUAAGGUAAACAAAAUAUUUUGCAGGCAAGAGAAACAAAUUAUAUAAAAAUCUUUUGCUUCCCCUGCUUAUUUACAACUAAUUUAUCAAUGAGUUAUUACUUUAAUUUCUUCCCUGGUUUUUUAUAACUUCAUCAAUGUACAUAUAUAUAUAUAUACUUUUGCCUUCAUAAACUUUGGGAGGUUUACAACUCCUUAAAAAAACAGCAAAUUGUUGUACCUUCUCCUCGUUAAUUCUGGCGCAACAUUUAAUACUGGGUUUGAAACAGAACAUGUGGACUGCAGAUGGAACGGUUAGUUCAACCUCAUGGCUACAACCAAGCUUGAAGUAUAUAGAAGGUUUUGUCCUUACGAUUUGGACAAUAUUCAAAACUUUCAAAAUCUUUCAUCAUGACAAAACAUUAAGGAGUGAGUACGUUCUGGUUGUUGGCAUGUGAUUAAGAGGUUAGUAUGGAUCGAGUUUUGAAAAUAGACUCUUAUAAAAAAUACUAAUAAAAUUACAUAUAAUAGAUUCUUGUGAUCCAUCUCUUCUUUGGACUCCGCAUAUAACCGGAAUUUAGUACACAUGGUUAAUAAGUUAUUUAUUUUUUUAUUAUCUUUUUGCAUAAUUGAGAUGCCACUUUUGCUCAUUUUAUAUUCCCUGCUAGUAGAAUUUAAGAAGGUUUACAUGAUUUAUCCACUCUUACAAUCCUAUAUUUCAAGACCUGUAUUAUUUUUAUUGACUAAACAUGGAUAAUGAUAACUACUGUCAAUACUAAUAAAAAUGUUUUCCACGUUAGAGUUGUGGGUUCGAGAAUAGCAGGCUUUAAAUUUGGUAGUUGGAGAAAUGCAUUGCAAGUUAUUUAUAAUGUGGUUCUAUCGUCUACAUUGAGGUGUGAAUAAUUUUGCAAUAAAUUAUUCUAUCCGUUUAUUUUAACUUAUUACAUUUCGUUUUGAGAUUCAAACUAUAUGAAUUUGGAUCAAUAUUUUAAGAUGAAUAAUUUUGCAAUAAAUUAUUACAUCCGUUUAUUUCAACUUAUUACGUUUCAUUUUUUGAGAGUCAAACUAUAUGAACUUUGAUUAACAUUUUAAGAUGAAUAUUUUUGCAAUUAAUUAUUCUAUCCUUUUAUUUUAACUUAUUACGUUUCGUUUUUUGAGAGUUAAAUGAUAUAUAUAUGAACUUUGAGAUGUAUUUUUUCAUCAUAUUAAUAUGAGAAAGAUUGAUCAUAUAUAGUUUUUAAAUAUUUAAAUUUAAAAUUUAAAAUAUUGAGUGAAUUUUAUUCAAUUUGACUCUCAAAGUUAAUCAAAUUAACUCUCAUGAAACAUGACAAAUAAAUCCAUUUUCUUGGUUUUCCACCCGGUACUCACAUCCAAAUCGUUCCACGCAUAUUCAGAAUUAUGGAGUAUUAAAUGAAAUAUUUAGUUCAUGAACUAACUAGUACAAAUUUUUUAAAAUCACCUUAUCGAGCAUAUUAAAUGUAAAUAGUUAACGCAGUAAACUAACCUGUGAGAUUUUCAUAUUCUCAGCUUUGCAAGCCGUUUGGAAAGACUUAUUAGGGAACGGAGUCUUACAAGUAAUAGCAAUAUUACCGAGAUCACCAAAUGCAUUGUGCUCGGUGUGAGAGGUUGCAUGAAAUUUCUUUGUCUAGCUUUUCUCAUUGGAACACCUUUUACGAUCAGAAGAUUCUCUCCAACACAGACUUAAAUCAUUUUCAAAGGCAUCCCUGCAAUUUAUUAGAGAUGGAAUAUUUAGUUGAUGAACUAAAUACAAAUUUCAAAAAAUCAUGGAUAUUAAACGUAAAUAAUUAUUUAUAGUACCUGUGAGAUUUUUAUAUUCUCAACAUUGCAAGCCGUUCCGAGACCCUGAGACUAAUUGGGGAAUAAAUGAUUGGGCCUUGUACAAGUAAUAGCUUUUUCAAUUUAGGCAUACUCAUAUCAUCCAUGCACGUUAUUUCAGACAACCCGCGUGCAUCCUCAAUAUGCAGAACUUCAAGUUGCGGAAAGCUAUCACCAGAGAGAUCCAUUUUUUCUGCAUCAUGGCUGCACCUAAGCAAUGUAAGUAUCCUUAAUUUGGGCAAUUUCUUAAGCACUGCCAAUAGAUGACCGUCUACCAUCAAGCCGACAAGAUUAAGCUUGACAAGAUUUGGAGGGAAUGCUUCAAUGUUCAAGAGCAUUGCUGAGAAACCAAACAAACCCAACUCGACAAUAUUUGGAUGGGACGACAAGUUUAUUUGCUCACUCGUGUUCUUGAAAAUUCUGAGCUUCAGAACCUCCAACGCUUUAGGCACAGGGCUCAAUGCUGAUAAUAUCUUAAUGGUAGAACCGGAUACAUCCUUUAUACACAAUGUUCUUAAAUUUAUCAAUCGGUGCAACAAUCUCGGUUCACAAAAUUUAUCAUCCACCCACAUCAAAGUUUGUAGAUUAUUACGAGGCAAUGAGUACACGUUUGGAAAAAAUGGGUUUAUACAAAAGUAAUUGUAAGGUGCUAGAUUAUAACCUAUAGAACGAAGAUGUCUCAAUUGUGUAGACUUCCAAACACCAGUAGGAAGUUUAAUAAAGAAGCUUUUACCAAUAUCUAGGGUCUCUAGAUGUUUGAGCUUCACCAUACAAUUUGGCAGUUUCCCAUCAGGGUCUCUAGACAUUUGAGCUUGACAAUACUAUUUGGCAAUUUUACUCUAAUUCUCCCCUCCAAUCGCACAUAGCGUAGGCAACUCAUGUUCCCAAUUUUGUUUGGGAUAGUAAUUACAUGCUGAUAACGAUCUCGAGACGUGACUACAACCAACACUUGCAAUAAUUUGAAAUCAAGAUGAGCCAGUUGAGAAAAUAUGCAAGGGUCUUCUGUAAAACAGAAAAGUGCACGAAGCUUCUCAAGCUUAGUAUUUGAACGGAAGAACUCAUUCAUGGCAUUAUUAUCAGAGUAGAAUGUAAUCCUUCGCACCCUAGCAACAUUGCUGGGAUCACCAAAUGCAUUGUGCUCGGUGUGAAAGAAGUUACUUUCCUUAGCCAAAUCCACACACAAACUAUGUAACAAGUCAUGUAUGCGACAACUUGAAAUUCUUCCAUCAUAUGUCCUUUCGACAACUUGAAUCAAGUUUCUAGAAACCAAAUCAUUUAGGAUAUCCUCUGCCAAACUUUCAGCCUCUCGCCUAUCACCACUAUAGUUUACAACUAUCAACUUCUCAGCAAUCCACAUAUUUGUCAGAUCAAAAGCACGAAUUUCAUGGUCCUCGGGGUAAAGGCCAAAAUACAAGAAACAUGGCCUUAAUGCAAUUGGCAAAUCAUUGUAACUCAGAGCCAAUACCUUAGCACAUCCAUCUUGAAUUUUAUGACCCAUACUCUCAAGUACUCUGUUCCAUGCACGUUCUGUUCUUUCUCUUGCCCUUAACAUGCCUGCGGUCACCUCAAUGGCUAGAGGUAUACCUCCACAUCUUCCAACUAUACUUCUACCAAUAUCUACCAAGUCUGGUGAAGCAUUGGCCCAAUUAUUAUUGUUAUCAAAAGUAAAGAUUUUCUUGGUAAAGAGUUCAAAACUGUUUUCCGAAUCUAGAGGUUGCAACACGUGUAUUGAGAAAUCCCCUCCUAUGUAUCUGCCUACAUUACUAUUUCGAGAGGUUAUAAUUAUCCUACUGCCAAUUUUUGAAUCACAUUCAGGAAGGACAAGUUUUAGAUCAUCCCAAAUUUCAACAUCCCAAAUGUCAUCUAAGAGAAUAACAUACCUUUUUAUUUUCAAGAGUGAUCGUAGGUUGUUCUCCAAGUUUUCUUUCCUUUCCUCUUCCAUCAGUCCAACUUGUU
RNAcentral lists this long non-coding RNA (6898 nucleotides) under Solanum tuberosum (potato). Its description in RNAcentral is "long non-coding RNA (STUB_LNC009467)". The record is from RNAcentral. Lineage: Eukaryota; Viridiplantae; Streptophyta; Magnoliopsida; Solanales; Solanaceae.